CUACCAGACUCCUACGGGAGGCAGCAGUGGGGGAUAUUGCACAAUGGGGGAAACCCUGAUGCAGCGACGCCGCGUGAGCGAUGAAGUAUUUCGGUAUGUAGAGCUCUAUCAGCAGGGAAGAAAAUGACGGUACCUGACUAAGAAGCCCCGGCUAACUACGUGCCAGCAGCCGCGGUAAUACGUAGGGGGCAAGCGUUAUCCGGAUUUACUGGGUGUAAAGGGAGCGUAGACGGCGCUGCAAGUCCGGAGUGAAAGUCCAUGGCUUAACCAUGGUACUGCUCUGGAAACUGUUUUUCUUGAGUGCUGGAGAGGCAAUCGGAAUUCCGUGUGUAGCGGUGAAAUGCGUAGAUAUACGGAGGAACACCAGUGGCGAAGGCGGAUUGCUGGACAGUAACUGACGCUGAGGCGCGAAAGCGUGGGGAGCAAACAGGAUUAGAUACCCUCGUAC
Molecule: ribosomal RNA, 448 nt
Filed under: uncultured bacterium
Lineage: Bacteria
Description: bacterial SSU rRNA
Rfam family: Bacterial small subunit ribosomal RNA
Source: RNAcentral